UGGAAUGUUUACUGGAGUAAGCUUUGUGAAGAAAGUUCAGAAGGGUUAGGUUGAUUAUGUCACCAAAAACUUUGUGAUUUCUUGUGGCACUUUAUUAUGUUAUUUGAUGUAAUUAGUUGGCUAAGUUACUUUUUGUGAAUAAAAGGAUGAGUAUUAUCCCUAGAAAAAUGAUAACAUGCUUUGGUUGUCUGCCCAAAAAUC
This 201-nucleotide long non-coding RNA is filed under the name Salvia miltiorrhiza (redroot sage). RNAcentral's name for it is "long non-coding RNA (SMIL_LNC000893)". The record is from RNAcentral. Lineage: Eukaryota; Viridiplantae; Streptophyta; Magnoliopsida; Lamiales; Lamiaceae.